GGAUUGUGGCUUGGUGGUAGAGCACACACCUACCACGUGCAAGGCCCUGGGUUCAAUCCUCAGCAUCA
This 68-nucleotide transfer RNA is filed under the name Marmota monax (woodchuck). Its description in RNAcentral is "tRNA.Gly". Lineage: Eukaryota; Metazoa; Chordata; Mammalia; Rodentia; Sciuridae. The record is from RNAcentral.